GAUGAGCCCGCGGCCUAUCAGCUAGUUGGUGGGGUAAUGGCCCACCAAGGCUGUGACGGGUAGCCGGGCUGAGAGGCUGUCCGGCCACACCGGGACUGAGACACGGCCCGGACUCCUACGGGAGGCAGCAGUGGGGAAUCUUGGGCAAUGGGCGAAAGCCUGACCCAGCGACGCCGCGUGGGGGAUGAAGGCCUUCGGGUCGUAAACCCCUGUCAGGAGGGACGAAGCCCGCAAGGGUGACGGUACCUCCAGAGGAAGCCCCGGCCAACUACGUGCCAGCAGCCGCGGUAAGACGUAGGGGGCGAGCGUUGUCCGGAUUGACUGGGCGUAAAGCGCGCGUAGGCGGCCAUGCAAGUCGGGCGUGAAAGCUCGGGGCUCAACUCCGAGAGGCCGUCCGAUACUGCAUGGCUAGAGGGCGGUAGGGGGCAGUGGAAUUCCCGGUGUAGCGGUGAAAUGCGCAGAUAUCGGGAGGAACACCGGUGGCGAAGGCGGCUGCCUGGGCCGUCCCUGACGCUGAGGCGCGAAAGCUGGGGGAGCGAACAGGAUUAGAUACCCUGGUAGUCCCAGCCGUAAACGGUGGGCGCUAGGUGUGGGGGGUUGAAACCCUCUGUGCCGCAGCUAACGCAUUAGGCGCCCCGCCUGGGGAGUACGGCCGCAAGGCUAAAACUCAAAGGAAUUGACGGGGGCCCGCACAAGCGGCGGAGCAUGUG
RNAcentral lists this ribosomal RNA (710 nucleotides) under uncultured bacterium. Its description in RNAcentral is "bacterial SSU rRNA". It matches the Rfam family "Bacterial small subunit ribosomal RNA", at positions 224 to 943 of the family's 1533-position model. The record is from RNAcentral.